RNAcentral lists this ribosomal RNA (678 nucleotides) under Triticum aestivum (bread wheat). RNAcentral's name for it is "partial small subunit ribosomal RNA". The record is from RNAcentral. Lineage: Eukaryota; Viridiplantae; Streptophyta; Magnoliopsida; Poales; Poaceae.
AUGCCGCCACUGACAAUCCGAGAUCCGACCAUACGCAAAGCUGGCCGCCAUCGCUGCGCCGCAGGACCCGACCAGCCGUGCCUCCACAAGCCGGGGGACCUGGCCCACCCCAAGCCUUGGGAGAGAAGGAAAGACCCCCGUCACCGCCAUUUGCCCCCAGGCUUAGCCCGACGGCGUCACACAGUGGCGACGGGAGGAGAGGAGGGAGUAGAUCGGGGCUCGGCGGCGGCUAGGGUAGCAGCCCGGCCGAGCUGCCCGAUGCGCUCAUAUGUUCAAUCUGAUAACCAAAACUGGGUCCUCUACCGAGCAACUGUCCAGUCCAGUGCCAGCCACGCAUUAACUGGAAUCAACAUUGUCUGCACACUGAAAACCACUGGCAAAAUCAAUUCACAAGCAGAGGGAGAUAGCCCAGAAGAAAAUGUAGAUAAAUCGUCGCCUUACCAUGAAUCACUGGGCCACAUAACCAUCCGGAACAUAGACGAAGACACACGGUUCCCUUCAGCAGAAUCAUGGGUGACAGAAGGCAAGUACAUCUCUUGGUCAAGCAAUUCCAACACGUCUAAGCUUCUGAAUCUGAAAAUUAACUGGAAGCUGAAUACCAGCCAUCAAGCAUCAUUCAUGAAAUAUAACAUAUAUGUGGAGAAGUUGCUUGCUGAUUCAAAUGCCGAGGCUUCCUGA